RNAcentral lists this non-coding RNA (119 nucleotides) under Tumebacillus algifaecis. RNAcentral describes it as "TPP sequence". It matches the Rfam family "TPP riboswitch aptamer (THI element)". From Rfam's summary of the family: Vitamin B(1) in its active form thiamin pyrophosphate (TPP) is an essential coenzyme that is synthesised by coupling of pyrimidine and thiazole moieties in bacteria. The previously detected thiamin-regulatory element, thi box was extended, resulting in a new, highly conserved RNA secondary structure, the THI element, which is widely distributed in eubacteria and also occurs in some archaea. The record is from Rfam by way of RNAcentral. Lineage: Bacteria; Bacillati; Bacillota; Bacilli; Caryophanales; Alicyclobacillaceae.
GUAAUCCCCUAGGGGUGCUUCCAUCAUAGCGGAGGCUGAGAGAAGGCACUUUUUCCUUCAACCCUUGGAACCUGACUCGACUGGGUAAUGCCAGCGUAGGGAAGCGGGAUGGCCGACAC